CCAAGGAGUCUAACACGUGCGCGAGUCGUAGGGUUUCCCUCGAAGCCCGGAGGCGCAAUGAAAGUGAACCGUAGGCGGGAUCCCCGUCAAACUCCCACGGGAGCCGGGGCGCACCGCCGGCCCGUCUCGUUCGGUCGGCCACGUCUUAAGCUUUUUUCCCCUUCUCUUUCGGGGGAUGGGGGAAAAGUGUCGGGCGUUGUCGGCGGAGGCGGAGCGAGAGCGUACACGUUAGGACCCGAAAGACGGUGAACUAUUCCCGGACAGGACGAAGCCGGAGGAAACUCCGGUGGAGGUCCGCAGCGAUUCUGACGUGCAAAUCGAUCGUCGGAUCCGGGUAUAGGGGCGAAAGACUAAUCGAACCGUCUA
Molecule: ribosomal RNA, 366 nt
Filed under: Ooperipatellus nickmayeri
Lineage: Eukaryota; Metazoa; Onychophora; Udeonychophora; Euonychophora; Peripatopsidae
Description: eukaryotic LSU rRNA
Rfam family: Eukaryotic large subunit ribosomal RNA
Source: RNAcentral